CGGAAAUAGAGUUGCAGGGUGGUGUCUCCUGCGCUUGCCAGGUGGCAAGUUCUUCUCCGCCGCGG
Molecule: non-coding RNA, 65 nt
Filed under: unclassified sequences
Source: RNAcentral